Magnolia sinica is the source of this 1128-nucleotide long non-coding RNA. RefSeq lists it as uncharacterized. The record is from RefSeq and is a predicted model, not a curated record. The transcript has 3 exons. NCBI's taxonomy places the organism in Eukaryota, Viridiplantae, Streptophyta, Magnoliopsida, Magnoliales, Magnoliaceae.
AAAAUCUCUGCAUUCUCAGAUUUCUUUCAAGUUCAUAUUGUGGAAAGGAAAUGGCUUGUGCUGCACAAGGGUUUCCUUGACUCGAAUCCUUACAUCUUGAAGUGUUAGAGAAAUUAGAGGAGUGGAGAGUGGAGGAAGGAGCUAUGCCAAGGCUUUUACAAUUAGAGAUCAAGUCGUGCAAUAAUUUGAAGAAGCUUCCUGAAGGCCUGCAACAUGUGAGCACCCUCAAGAAAUUGGAGUUAUGGUACAUGCCCGAUCAAUUCAUAGAAAGGCUUCGAAAAGACGAAGGAGAGGAUUGGCCUAAGAUUCGUCACAUACCCUCCAUUGACAUACACAAAUUGACAUGGCAAUCAUCAUGAGCAGCUGGAACAUGAUUGGAUAGUCAAGUUCAUCGUUUUAAUAACCAUCAUUGAAGACCAGCUUGGCGUGAUCUCAACAACGGAAGUGACUCAAUUUCUCCAUUUUGUUUGCAUUCUUGAUCUAGUAACUCUUCACCUAGCUGAUCAUCAGCUUCUCUGACAUGGACAAGGGCAUUGCCAACAUCAUGGCCACAACCACUUCUAUGAUCACAACAAAGUGUAUGCUCCUUUUUCUACCUGUUCUCAAGCAAUUUCUUUCAGGAGGUGUAUAUACAGCACACAUGUAUCCAGAAUUCAAUGCCGGGCUUUGAGAAGAUUGGCAUAAGAUUAAGCACAUACCUUCCAUGAACAAACCAAAAUAAUAAGAUGUGAUGACAUCAAAUUUAGCACUCGCAUCUCCUCUCUUUGGAGGCUACAUAAUAGACAUCAUCCUGGCAGGUGUAUCAAACAUUUGAGCAGUGUAUAAAGUGUCCCACCUCAUGAAGACGACCUUAUGCAAAAAUCGGGCUGGUUAACAAACCACUCAGGCCAGGCAUGUAUGUUCAACUAGCACAGCUAGCAAAUUUAUUUAAAAUGUAAAUACUUUCUGUAGGAGGUCACCUUAUGAGUGGAUUAACCUAAAUCUUUAAUACAAUAUGUGAAAUUGUAAUUUUCCUUUUGGUGGAAGUAUUGUAAUUACUUAUGGAAGAGCGGAGAUGUUUGGACUUUGUGGAUCCAAACUUUCAAGCCAUAUUGAAUGAGAAUGUGUAACGCCCCGAACUUUUCGAUA